This 497-nucleotide ribosomal RNA is filed under the name uncultured bacterium. Its description in RNAcentral is "partial 16S ribosomal RNA". It matches the Rfam family "Bacterial small subunit ribosomal RNA", at positions 28 to 507 of the family's 1533-position model. The record is from RNAcentral.
GAUGAACGCUGGCGGCGUGCCUAAUACAUGCAAGUCGAGCGAACGGACGAGAAGCUUGCUUCUCUGAUGUUAGCGGCGGACGGGUGAGUAACACGUGGAUAACCUACCUAUAAGACUGGGAUAACUUCGGGAAACCGGAGCUAAUACCGGAUAAUAUUUUGAACCGCAUGGUUCAAAAGUGAAAGACGGCCUUGCUGUCACUUAUAGAUGGAUCCGCGCUGCAUUAGCUAGUUGGUAGGGUAACGGCUUACCAAGGCAACGAUGCAUAGCCGACCUGAGAGGGUGAUCGGCCACACUGGAACUGAGACACGGUCCAGACUCCUACGGGAGGCAGCAGUAGGGAAUCUUCCGCAAUGGGCGAAAGCCUGACGGAGCAACGCCGCGUGAGUGAUGAAGGUCUUCGGAUCGUAAAACUCUGUUAUUAGGGAAGAACAUAUGUGUAAGUAACUGUGCACAUCUUGACGGUACCUAAUCAGAAAGCCACGGCUAACUACGUG